AGCUCCGCAAGUGUAUAUCUAUGUUGCUGCGGUUAAAAAGCUCGUAGUUGGAUCUGCGUGUUUAGCGUCCGGUUCGCCCUCUGGGUGCUACUGGAACGCGACACAGAUGUGUUGGUUUGUCGUCGGUGCUCUUAAUCGGGUGUCGGCGGCGGCUAACGAGUUUACUUUGAAAAAAUUAGAGUGCUCAAAACAGGCGUUUCGCCUGAAUAUUUCUGCAUGGAAUAAUAGAAUAGGACUUCGAUUCUAUUCUGUUGGUUUUCGGAAUGCGAGGUAAUGAUUAAGAGGGACAGACGGGGGCAUUCGUACUGCGACGUUAGAGGUGAAAUUCUUGGAUCGUCGCAAGACGUACUACUGCGAAGGCAUUUGCCAAGAAUGUUUUCA
This 381-nucleotide ribosomal RNA is filed under the name uncultured eukaryote. Its description in RNAcentral is "SSU rRNA". It matches the Rfam family "Eukaryotic small subunit ribosomal RNA", at positions 587 to 972 of the family's 1831-position model. The record is from RNAcentral.